Metopolophium dirhodum (rose-grain aphid) is the source of this 1794-nucleotide long non-coding RNA. RefSeq lists it as uncharacterized. NCBI's taxonomy places the organism in Eukaryota, Metazoa, Arthropoda, Insecta, Hemiptera, Aphididae. The transcript is spliced from 5 exons. The record is from RefSeq and is a predicted model, not a curated record.
GAUAAAAAAUUAAACAACAUUCAGAAAAUCUGAACGACUGAACGUUUGAAUGAAACAGCCUUUACAAUGAAAUUGUUUUCAUAAAUUAAUAUAUAAAUUAUUUUCUAUGAAAAUCGAAGCAAUGGAUUCACCACUUUGAAAAUUAAGAACUUGUAUACUGUUGUGACUGACAAACAAUGUUGGGUAUGAAGUCUAUGGUGUGAAUGUAGUUGGUAUAAUUUAUAAUUGUAUUAAAUUAUCGAUAAGUUAAUGAUCUUGGAUAAGCAGUUCAAGUGGAAAAAUUACUACAACACAGAUUCUGUAAACAAACGCCUUCAAACGUGUUACCAAAUUUAAUUAUAAUUAUUUUGGAUAAAAAUCUGUGAAAAGGUCGUGAAUUACUCAUGUAACAGAGGUUUCCCUGUUUACAGAUACUUGUCACUAAUAGUAUCCACCAUAAGAUAUAUAUGUAUGCAUCUGAAUAAAGGACAGUCAAUGCUGCUGUUCAACUUAUGGUCAUACGGAACCAAUUGUUUAAUAUAUACAAUUGAAGUUUUUUCAACGAUAAUAAUAGUUUUUAGACCUACGGCCAUCAUCUGAGAAGAGAGACACCACUCCACCGGUACUGUGCAAAAACUGCGGUGAACUGUCACCAGUAAUACACCUUUUUGUCUACUGCCACAACUAGAACUAAUCUAGACAUUUUGGACAAUCUAUACGAAGCUCUAAACCCUCAAGAAGAAAAAAAGCUGAAGCUGUAACAAUGUAAAAAAAAUAAAGUUUGUUGAUGUACUAUUUAACUAAUAAAUAAUUAUUAAGAGGACGCCAUUCCUGCAUGCAUUAUCCCCAUCUUACAAAUGUAUAACAUACCAAAUUGUACGUUCUGAAUAAUUUAUUUAACUUAUGUUAUGUUUAAUUUUAGAGUGAAUUAAUUAUCUAAUUUAGAAUUAAGAUUAUUAUCAAGACGAUCACUAAGUUUUAUUUUAUAUUUCAACUUUAAAUCAAAUUAUCAAGUUUUGAAUGGAGGAAAAUCUUAAUGUUAAAUUUGAUAUUCCAACAAUAUUUGGUGUUUUUGCUCACAUUUGACUAGAAGAAGUGCUCCAACAUUCAAUAUAGUUAUUGAUCGCUAUAAUUUAGAAAUUGGAUACAUAAUCUACUUCCUGAUAUCUAUUGAAAAAACAACUAUAAAAGCCAGAUUAAUUUUGACUUAAAUUUAAUUUUAGGUAAUAAACAUUAAUCUAUGUAUUAGUGGAAAAAAAAACUUUUCCCAAAGUAACACAAAUUUUUAUGUCUAAAAACUUAUGAACUAUAUAAUUUAUUAAUUGACUCCAUUACUACUUUUUCAUUAUUUAUUGUUUUUGUUUAUAUUAUUUCUUUAUAAUAGUUAAAACCAUAGUUAAAGCCAAUAAUUAUAUUAUUGUAAUAUUAUUUUUAUUAAAAUGUGUAAUGAAUCUCCCACUCAAUAUUUUGUUAAUAUGUUAUUACAUGAAGUAAAAGAUAAAUUUGAAUUAUUAUAUCAUUAAUAUUCCAAUAUUUAUUUUAAUAAUAUCAUUUAUAAUAAUAUAAAACUGUUGUGAUGAAUAGGUUGCUAUUAAAAUUGGUAUUUUGUAUGUUGUAAGCAAUAUAGUCUUAAUUUACCUGAGUUAUUUUUAUAAUAAUUUCUAAAAGCUACAUAAAACAAAAUAUUAAAUUAUGAGUUGUAUGUUACCUAUAUUUUAGUAAAUUUUAUUACAAAAUAUUAAAAAUAAACUUCACUAAAUACCUGGAAUUUAAAUUAAAACCAUAGAAUACCAAAGCAGUAUAUUUAUUCGGUUA